AUUUUAGAAAUGGAGAAAACAAGACUCGGAAGCUAAAUGACUAGUCCAGGAUGAUACAGCUAAGGAAACUGAGGCCCAGAGAGGCAGAGCCUUGACAUAUAUUUAGCCUGAUAACCACUGAAAAAGGGAAAGACUGAGCCUACAUUCAAUUCGGAAAAUGAUUGGAUCAGAGGUUCGAUGAUACGUUUUCAGCGAGUAGCCCCGAUCAAGAGGAUGGUGAUCGAAAUAUGUGUGACAGUAUCAGCAAGGAGCCAGUCCCUUGCUGUUCCACAAAAGCCAUAAUCCCAGUAACGACGAUUUCUUCUUGUAACAAAGAAGACAGUAAAAUCAAAGGGGAAAUAUUCAAAGUGGAAUGAAAGGAAUUGGCACCAGAAAAGACGAUGUGGUGACUGGAGAAAAAUAGGAAAAGAUUUUAGAAGUUCUCCGUUGUGGGGGGACUCUACAAUCACUGGCUUUGUCUCUUAUCCAGUUUCCUUCCCUAUUGUACUAACCCUGUGCUUCCUGGAUGUCUGCUGGAAACCAGCAGAAAGAGGAAAGGUUUCCACAUGCUAAUAUGUAAAUCCAAGCAGCCUGUGUCCGCGUGGAGCAACCAGUGACUCAGUAAUGCUCAAAAGCAAGGUCAGAGGCAAAGCAAACCUUGCCUUCCCCCAGAUGCUUGGUGACCGUGUUCUAGUAAUCCACCCUGAAAGUUAGUGCCUGAGGGCAAGUAUGCGGCAGAGAACAGCCGGCACAGAAACACUUCAGUUCGUGCAGCGGAAAAGACAGAGGGUCAGAAGUUCUAAAUCUUGGACACCACUCUACCAGCACCGAGCUCUGAUUUUGGACAAGUUCUUCAUCCUCUCCCUUUAUAGAAUGAAGACGUUGAACACGACUAAGCUCCCUUGC
This is a non-coding RNA of Kogia breviceps (pygmy sperm whale), 885 nucleotides long. The record is from RefSeq and is a predicted model, not a curated record. NCBI's taxonomy places the organism in Eukaryota, Metazoa, Chordata, Mammalia, Artiodactyla, Physeteridae.